This is a long non-coding RNA of Octopus bimaculoides (California two-spot octopus), 2034 nucleotides long. NCBI's taxonomy places the organism in Eukaryota, Metazoa, Mollusca, Cephalopoda, Octopoda, Octopodidae. The record is from RefSeq and is a predicted model, not a curated record.
UGGUUUGUUUAGGUCCUCGUAACUAAGUAGCUCGAUAGAUCACACUGAUACAAUAAGUACAUUUAAAAAAUAAGUAUUGAAGUCGAUUUCUUCGACUAAGCCCUACAAGGCAGUGCCCGAGCAUGGCCACAGUCCAGUGACUUAAACAAGUAAAAGAUAAAAGAUAAUUGUAAUUUCCGUUGUAUGAAAUACAGGAAUGCUAAAAAUAAAAUGAAAAUAACUACUUUUUUUCCUUUCUUUGAGGUAUGGAACCCCUUAUCUGAAACGCCUCCAGACUUUGAUUGGCUCUUUGAGCUAAGCUUGACCGAGGCAAAUCAACAACCAUACAUCACAUCGCUUAUUUGCUUCUAGUCAUGUUUAAGCUUCUCUGAUGAAAGAUGGCUGAAGGUACUCAACCUGACGACAAGAAGGCAGAGUUCGGGCGUUUGAGUGCCCAGCUGGAGAAGCAAUGUGCCUUCAUGAAGAGGAUCGUCUCUUCGGCGAAAGCGGUUGCUGAGAGCAACAUUUGGGCCAGCUACCGUGCUGCACACCUUGUGGCCACCAACCUCAAGCCGUUUACCGAUGGCGAAUUCUUCAAGGUGUACAUGAUGGCUGUGGUUAAGGACGUGUGACCUUGACAAGUCGAGUGAGAUUGAGGCCAUCAGCCUGUCUGCCAGGACCUUGACCCGCCGCGUAGAGAUGGCCACCGAUAUCCGGGGCACCCUGAUGGACAUGUGUCAGUCCGCUCGCUUCUUCUCCAUCGCCUUGGACGAGUCGACUGACAUCAAGCUUGCCAUCUUCUUCCGCGGCGGCAGGGAUGACUUCGUCGUCUUUGAGGAGUUCAUCAGACUCAUUCCCCGCAGCGGUACCACCACUGGCGCCGACGUGUGCAAGGCAGUAACAGACUGGCUGAAGGAGGCCGACCUGGACCUCUCUCGCAUGUGCGGCAUCACAUGAUCGGGGACAAGAAGGGCUUUGCGACGCUUCUUGUGAAGUACUUGCGCAGCUUUGGACGUCUGCAGGGUGUGAAGUGCUUUCACUGUCUGGUGCACCAGGAAGCUCUGUGCGCCAAGUCCGUGACCAUUACAGAGGUCAUGACUAUCGUCGUCAGGGCUGUGAACUUUGUUUGCACCCGUGCUCUCAACCACAGACAGUUCCGCGCUCUCUUGGAUGAUGCUGAGGCAGAGUUCAACGACCUGAUCUACUUCUGCAAGGUCCGUUGGCUCAGCUGAGGAAAGAUGUUGGAGAGAGUCUUCAACCUGAGGGAUGAGCUGGCGUCUUUCCUGCGAGAGAAGGACAUUGCUGUCCUUCAGUUCGAGGAUCCCGCAUGAGUGUGUAACCGUGGGUUCCUGGUGGACAUUACUGGACAUCUAAACGAGCUGAACAUUCAGCUGCAGUGUAAAGACGUCUUGGUACCUGACUUCCUCGCCCACGUAAAGGCAUUCGAAUGCAAACUUCGCCUGUGGAAGCAUCAGUUCAACCAGAGGAAAUUUACUCACUUCUCCCGCUUGGCUGAGCUGUGCCCAACCCCCGCUGCCUGCCGUCGCUACGCCGCUGCCUUGACUGAGCUGCGAGGCGAGUUCGAGAGGCGCUUCAAAGAGGUGCGCGCCUGUGAGAAGGAGCUGAAGCUAUUCUCCGCUCCCUUUGAUGUGGAUUCUGUGGAAGUGGCCGACGACAUUCAGCUGGAGCACAUUGAGCUCCAGUGCUCAGAGAGCCACCGCGCAAAGUUUGCACUUGUGUCGCCCAUGGAGUUCUGGCGCUCGCUCUCAGCCUCCCGUGCUUUCCCGGCUCUUUUCGGGAUGCCCUACGCUUAGCUUCAUUGUUCGCGUCCACAUACUCUUUCGAGCAGCUGUUCAGCCGCAUGAGGCUGACGAAGAACAAGACGAGAGCACAGCUUCAAGAUGCUCAUCUUCAAGACGUUCUCCUUCUGGCCUCGUCCAUCAAGCCGGACAUUGACUCUGUAUCUGUUUCAAAGAAUCGCCAGCCUUCCCAUUAAUCGUUUCACAUUGUGAUUACUGCAAGUCUUAAUAAAGGUUCAAUUUACAUUUAUUAUCA